RNAcentral lists this ribosomal RNA (393 nucleotides) under uncultured bacterium. Its description in RNAcentral is "partial 16S ribosomal RNA". It matches the Rfam family "Bacterial small subunit ribosomal RNA", at positions 523 to 918 of the family's 1533-position model. The record is from RNAcentral.
AUACGGAGGAUCCGAGCGUUAUCCGGAUUUAUUGGGUUUAAAGGGAGCGUAGGCGGACGCUUAAGUCAGUUGUGAAAGUUUGCGGCUCAACCGUAAAAUUGCAGUUGAUACUGGGUGUCUUGAGUACAGUAGAGGCAGGCUGCAUUCGUGGGGUAGCGGUGGAAUGCUUAGAUAUCACGAAGAACUCCGAUUGCGAAGGCAGCCUGCUGGACUGUAACUGACGCUGAUGCUCGAAAGUGUGGGUAUCAAACAGGAUUAGAUACCCUGGUAGUCCACACAGUAAACGAUGAAUACUCGCUGUUUGCGAUAUACAGUAAGCGGCCAAGCGAAAGCGUUAAGUAUUCCACCUGGGGAGUACGCCGGCAACGGUGAAACUCAAAGGAAUUGACGGGG